Non-coding RNA from Arvicanthis niloticus (Nile rat), 69 nucleotides. The record is from RefSeq and is a predicted model, not a curated record. NCBI's taxonomy places the organism in Eukaryota, Metazoa, Chordata, Mammalia, Rodentia, Muridae.
ACCUUCACAUUCACCUCAUCGCUCUUGGGGUUCCCCAGGACCUUGAGCACCUCAGCAGAUCUGAAGAGC